GCGCCCGUAGCUCAGUUGGAUAGAGCGCUGCCCUCCGGAGGCAGAGGUCUCAGGUUCAAUUCCUGACGAGCGCG
This 74-nucleotide transfer RNA is filed under the name Candidatus Arsenophonus lipoptenae. RNAcentral's name for it is "Arsenophonus symbiont of Lipoptena fortisetosa tRNA". It matches the Rfam family "tRNA". From Rfam's summary of the family: Transfer RNA (tRNA) molecules are approximately 80 nucleotides in length. The record is from Rfam by way of RNAcentral. Lineage: Bacteria; Pseudomonadati; Pseudomonadota; Gammaproteobacteria; Enterobacterales; Morganellaceae.